This 320-nucleotide ribosomal RNA is filed under the name uncultured eukaryote. Its description in RNAcentral is "partial 18S ribosomal RNA". It matches the Rfam family "Eukaryotic small subunit ribosomal RNA", at positions 1470 to 1796 of the family's 1831-position model. The record is from RNAcentral.
CCCCUAGAUGUUCUGGGCCGCACGCGCGCUACACUGAACAGUUCAACAAGUCUUAACCUUGGCCGAUAGGUCUGGGUAAUCUUUGAACGCUGUUCGUGAUUGGGAUAGACCUUUGCAAUUAUGGGUCUUCAACGAGGAAUUCCUAGUAAACGCAAGUCAUCAGCUUGCAUUCAUUACGUCCCUGCCCUUUGUACACACCGCCCGUCGCACCUACCGAUUGAAUGGUCCGGUGAAAUCUCGGGACGGCGGCUUGGUCGCUUGCGUCCGACUGCUGAAACUUGAUUAAACCAUAUCAUUUAGAGGAAGGUGAAGUCGUAACA